Molecule: ribosomal RNA, 1352 nt
Filed under: Staphylococcus pseudintermedius
Lineage: Bacteria; Bacillati; Bacillota; Bacilli; Caryophanales; Staphylococcaceae
Description: partial 23S ribosomal RNA
Rfam family: Bacterial large subunit ribosomal RNA
Source: RNAcentral
CCUGAGUACGACGGAGCACGUGAAAUUCCGUCGGAAUCUGGGAGGACCAUCUCCUAAGGCUAAAUACUCUCUAGUGACCGAUAGUGAACCAGUACCGUGAGGGAAAGGUGAAAAGUACCCCGGAAGGGGAGUGAAAGAGAACUUGAAACCGUGUGCUUACAAGUAGUCAGAGCCCGUUAAUGGGUGAUGGCGUGCCUUUUGUAGAAUGAACCGGCGAGUUACGAUCUGAUGCAAGGUUAAGCAGAAAAUGUGGAGCCGUAGCGAAAGCGAGUCUGAAUAGGGCGAAUGAGUAUUUGGUCGUAGACCCGAAACCAGGUGAUCUACCCUUGGUCAGGUUGAAGUUCAGGUAACACUGAAUGGAGGACCGAACCGACUUACGUUGAAAAGUGAGCGGAUGAACUGAGGGUAGCGGAGAAAUUCCAAUCGAACUUGGAGAUAGCUGGUUCUCUCCGAAAUAGCUUUAGGGCUAGCCUCAAGUGAUGAUUAUUGGAGGUAGAGCACUGUUUGGACGAGGGGCCCCUCUCGGGUUACCGAAUUCAGACAAACUCCGAAUGCCAAAUAAUUUAACUUGGGAGUCAGAAUGUGGGUGAUAAGGUCCAUAUUCGAAAGGGAAACAGCCCAGACCACCAGCUAAGGUCCCAAAAUAUAUGUUAAGUGGAAAAGGAUGUGGCGUUGCCCAGACAACUAGGAUGUUGGCUUAGAAGCAGCCAUCAUUUAAAGAGUGCGUAAUAGCUCACUAGUCGAGUGACACUGCGCCGAAAAUGUACCGGGGCUAAACAUAUUACCGAAGCUGUGGAUUGUCCUUUGGACAAUGGUAGGAGAGCGUUCUAAGGGCGUUGAAGCAUGAUCGCAAGGACAUGUGGAGCGCUUAGAAGUGAGAAUGCCGGUGUGAGUAGCGAAAGACGGGUGAGAAUCCCGUCCACCGAUUGACUAAGGUUUCCAGAGGAAGGCUCGUCCGCUCUGGGUUAGUCGGGUCCUAAGCUGAGGCCGACAGGCGUAGGCGAUGGAUAACAGGUUGAUAUUCCUGUACCACCAUUAUUCGUUUUAAGCGAUGGGGGGACGCAGUAGGAUAGGCGAAGCGUGCUGUUGGAGUGCACGUCCAAGCAGUGAGAUUGAGUGUUAGGCAAAUCCGGCACUCUUAAGAUUGAGCUGUGAUGGGGAGAGGAACUUGUUCCUCGAGUCGUUGAUUUCACACUGCCGAGAAAAGCCUCUAGCUAGAAUAACGGUGCCCGUACCGCAAACCGACACAGGUAGUCAAGAUGAGAAUUCUAAGGUGAGCGAGCGAACUCUCGUUAAGGAACUCGGCAAAAUGACCCCGUAACUUCGGGAGAAGGGGUGCUCUUUGAGGUUCA